AAUUAGAAGUCGUCAUGGCAAGA
This 23-nucleotide non-coding RNA is filed under the name Cricetulus griseus (Chinese hamster). The record is from RNAcentral. Lineage: Eukaryota; Metazoa; Chordata; Mammalia; Rodentia; Cricetidae.